UCCCUGAUGGUUAAAUGGUUAAGACUCCUCGCUUCCACUGCAGGGGGCUCGGGUUCAAUCCCUGGUCAGGGAA
RNAcentral lists this transfer RNA (73 nucleotides) under Ovis aries (sheep). It matches the Rfam family "tRNA". From Rfam's summary of the family: Transfer RNA (tRNA) molecules are approximately 80 nucleotides in length. Their secondary structure includes four short double-helical elements and three loops (D, anti-codon, and T loops). Lineage: Eukaryota; Metazoa; Chordata; Mammalia; Artiodactyla; Bovidae. The record is from Rfam by way of RNAcentral.